UACGGAGGGUGCGAGCGUUGUCCGGAAUCACUGGGCGUAAAGGGCGCGUAGGUGGCCUUCUAAGUUGAACGUGAAAUCCCUGGGCUCAACCCAGGAACUGCGUCCAAGACUGGGAGGCUUGAAUCCGGGAGAGGGAUGCGGAAUUCCAGGUGUAGCGGUGAAAUGCGUAGAUAUCUGGAGGAACACCGGUGGCGAAGGCGGCAUCCUGGACCGGUAUUGACACUGAGGCGCGAAAGCCAGGGGAGCAAACGGG
This 253-nucleotide ribosomal RNA is filed under the name uncultured bacterium. RNAcentral describes it as "partial 16S ribosomal RNA". It matches the Rfam family "Bacterial small subunit ribosomal RNA", at positions 524 to 776 of the family's 1533-position model. The record is from RNAcentral.